RNAcentral lists this ribosomal RNA (512 nucleotides) under uncultured bacterium. RNAcentral describes it as "bacterial SSU rRNA". It matches the Rfam family "Bacterial small subunit ribosomal RNA", at positions 28 to 528 of the family's 1533-position model. The record is from RNAcentral.
GAUGAACGCUAGCGGGAGGCUUAAUACAUGCAAGUCGAGGGGCAGCAGGGACAAAUUUCGGUUUGUUCGCUGGCGACCGGCGCACGGGUGAGUAACGCGUACGCAACUUACCUCCAAGAAGGGAAUAGCCCCGGGAAACUGGGAUUAAUGUCCUAUGUGCUUUUCGGAUCGCAUGAUCUGAUUAGUAAAGCUACGGUGCUUGGAGAUAGGCGUGCGUGCUAUUAGCUAGUUGGUGAGGUAACGGCUCACCAAGGCUACGAUAGCUAGGGGGCGUGAGAGCGUGGCCCCCCACACGGGUACUGAGACACGGACCCGACUCCUACGGGAGGCAGCAGUAAGGAAUAUUGGACAAUGGGCGAGAGCCUGAUCCAGCCAUGCCGCGUGCAGGAAGACGGCCCUAUGGGUUGUAAACUGCUUUUGUACGGGAAGAAACACCCCCUCGUGAGGGGGCUUGACGGUACCGUAAGAAUAAGGAUCGGCUAACUCCGUGCCAGCAGCCGCGGUAAUGUCGU